RNAcentral lists this ribosomal RNA (253 nucleotides) under uncultured bacterium. RNAcentral's name for it is "partial 16S ribosomal RNA". It matches the Rfam family "Bacterial small subunit ribosomal RNA", at positions 524 to 776 of the family's 1533-position model. The record is from RNAcentral.
UACGGGGGGGGCAAGCGUUGUUCGGAAUUACUGGGCGUAAAGGGCUCGUAGGCGGCCAACUAAGUCGGACGUGAAAGCCCUCGGCUUAACCGAGGAAUUGCAUCCGAUACUGGAUGGCUUGAAUCCGGGAGAGGUGAGUGGAAUUCCCAGUGUAGCGGUGAAAUGCGUAGAUAUUGGGAGGAACACCAGUGGCGAAGGCGGCUCACUGGACCGGUUCUGACGCUGAGGCGCGAAAGCGUGGGGAGCAAACGGG